This is a non-coding RNA of Triticum aestivum (bread wheat), 135 nucleotides long. The record is from Rfam. Lineage: Eukaryota; Viridiplantae; Streptophyta; Magnoliopsida; Poales; Poaceae.
GUAGUACUCCCUCUGCCCCAAAAUUCUUGUCUUACAUUUUUUUGGAUAUGGAUGUAUCUAACACUAAAAUGUAACUAGAUACAUCCAUAUUUAGACAAAUUUAAGACAAGAAUUUUGGGACGGAGGGAGUACAAA